AACGAACGCUGGCGGCAUGCCUAACACAUGCAAGUCGAACGAGAUCUUCGGGUCUAGUGGCGCACGGGUGCGUAACGCGUGGGAAUCUGCCCCUUGGUUCGGAAUAACAGUUGGAGACGACUGCUAAUACCGGAUGAUGACGAAAGUCCAAAGAUUUAUCGCCAGAGGAUGAGCCCGCGUAGGAUUAGCUAGUUGGUGUGGUAAAGGCGCACCAAGGCGACGAUCCUUAGCUGGUCUGAGAGGAUGAUCAGCCACACUGGGACUGAGACACGGCCCAGACUCCUACGGGAGGCAGCAGUGGGGAAUAUUGGACAAUGGGCGAAAGCCUGAUCCAGCAAUGCCGCGUGAGUGAUGAAGGCCUUAGGGUUGUAAAGCUCUUUUACCCGGGAUGAUAAUGACAGUACCGGGAGAAUAAGCUCCGGCUAACUCCGUGCCAGCAGCCGCAGUAA
RNAcentral lists this ribosomal RNA (449 nucleotides) under uncultured bacterium. RNAcentral describes it as "partial 16S ribosomal RNA". It matches the Rfam family "Bacterial small subunit ribosomal RNA", at positions 29 to 523 of the family's 1533-position model. The record is from RNAcentral.